This 274-nucleotide ribosomal RNA is filed under the name Paenibacillus sp. ISO484-S_OTU53385. RNAcentral describes it as "partial 16S ribosomal RNA". It matches the Rfam family "Bacterial small subunit ribosomal RNA", at positions 29 to 289 of the family's 1533-position model. RNAcentral also lists the same sequence under 3 other names. The record is from RNAcentral. Lineage: Bacteria; Bacillati; Bacillota; Bacilli; Caryophanales; Paenibacillaceae.
ACGAACGCUGGCGGCAUGCCUAAUACAUGCAAGUCGAGCGGACUUGAAGAGAAGCUUGCUUCUCUGAUGGUUAGCGGCGGACGGGUGAGUAACACGUAGGCAACCUGCCCUCAAGUUUGGGACAACUACCGGAAACGGUAGCUAAUACCGAAUAGUUGUUUUCUUCUCCUGAAGAGAACUGGAAAGACGGAGCAAUCUGUCACUUGGGGAUGGGCCUGCGGCGCAUUAGCUAGUUGGUGGGGUAACGGCUCACCAAGGCGACGAUGCGUAGCCG